GCCCCCGGGAAACCGCGGGGGAUGAGCGCCUCGGCGAGCCGUGAGUCCCCUUCGCUCCCCGGGGGCACA
This 69-nucleotide small nucleolar RNA is filed under the name Thermococcus nautili. RNAcentral describes it as "Pab160 RNA". It matches the Rfam family "Pab160 RNA". Rfam says of the family: By using various computational and experimental approaches in three Pyrococcus genomes seven H/ACA sRNAs and 15 pseudouridine resides on rRNA were identified. One H/ACA motif was shown to guide up to three distinct pseudouridylations. Lineage: Archaea; Methanobacteriati; Methanobacteriota; Thermococci; Thermococcales; Thermococcaceae. The record is from RNAcentral. RNAcentral also lists the same sequence under 1 other name.